AUUGAACGCUGGCGGCAUGCCUUACACAUGCAAGUCGAACGGUAACGCGGGGCAACCUGGCGACGAGUGGCGAACGGGUGAGUAACGCAUCGGAACGUGCCCUUAGUGGGGAAUACCUCCACGAAAUCGGGAUUAAUACCGCAUACGACCUACGGGUGAAAGCGGGGGAUCGCAAGAACUCGCGCUGAUGGAGCGGCCGAUGUCAGAUUAGGUUGUUGGUGAGGUAAAGGCUCACCAAGCCGACGAUCUGUAGCUGGUCUGAGAGGACGACCAGCCACACUGGGACUGAGACACGGCCCAGACUCCUACGGGAGGCAGCAGUGGGGAAUUUUGGACAAUGGGGGCAACCCUGAUCCAGCCAUGCCGCGUGCGGGAAGAAGGCCUUCGGGUUGUAAACCGCUUUUGUCGGGGAAGAAACGCUCUGGGCUAAUAUCCUGGGGUAAUGACGGUACCCGAAGAAUAAGCACCGGCUAACUACGUGCCAGCCGCCGCCGUAA
Molecule: ribosomal RNA, 497 nt
Filed under: uncultured bacterium
Lineage: Bacteria
Description: partial 16S ribosomal RNA
Rfam family: Bacterial small subunit ribosomal RNA
Source: RNAcentral